UGCAAGUCGAGCGGACAGAUGGGAGCUUGCUCCCUGAUGUUAGCGGCGGACGGGUGAGUAACACGUGGGUAACCUGCCUGUAAGACUGGGAUAACUCCGGGAAACCGGGGCUAAUACCGGAUGCUUGAUUGAACCGCAUGGUUCAAUUAUAAAAGGUGGCUUUUAGCUACCACUUACAGAUGGACCCGCGGCGCAUUAGCUAGUUGGUGAGGUAACGGCUCACCAAGGCAACGAUGCGUAGCCGACCUGAGAGGGUGAUCGGCCACACUGGGACUGAGACACGGCCCAGACUCCUACGGGAGGCAGCAGUAGGGAAUCUUCCGCAAUGGACGAAAGUCUGACGGAGCAACGCCGCGUGAGUGAUGAAGGUUUUCGGAUCGUAAAACUCUGUUGUUAGGGAAGAACAAGUACCGUUCGAAUAGGGCGGUACCUUGACGGUACCUAACCAGAAAGCCACGGCUAACUACGUGCCAGCAGCCGCGGUAAUACGUAGGUGGCAAGCGUUGUCCGGAAUUAUUGGGCGUAAAGCGCGCGCAGGCGGUUUCUUAAGUCUGAUGUGAAAGCCCCCGGCUCAACCGGGGAGGGUCAUUGGAAACUGGGGAACUUGAGUGCAGAAGAGGAGAGUGGAAUUCCACGUGUAGCGGUGAAAUGCGUAGAGAUGUGGAGGAACACCAGUGGCGAAGGCGACUCUCUGGUCUGUAACUGACGCUGAGGCGCG
This 718-nucleotide ribosomal RNA is filed under the name uncultured Bacillus sp. Its description in RNAcentral is "bacterial SSU rRNA". It matches the Rfam family "Bacterial small subunit ribosomal RNA", at positions 56 to 755 of the family's 1533-position model. The record is from RNAcentral. Lineage: Bacteria; Bacillati; Bacillota; Bacilli; Caryophanales; Bacillaceae.